AUUAAUGUGAUGUUUUGUAAUACCGCCCCAGUCUGAUAAUUGUGACGAUUGGUUAUAUUUGCUGAUAUU
This 69-nucleotide small nucleolar RNA is filed under the name Ceratitis capitata (Mediterranean fruit fly). Lineage: Eukaryota; Metazoa; Arthropoda; Insecta; Diptera; Tephritidae. The record is from RNAcentral.